RNAcentral lists this transfer RNA (64 nucleotides) under Cavia porcellus (domestic guinea pig). It matches the Rfam family "tRNA". Rfam says of the family: Transfer RNA (tRNA) molecules are approximately 80 nucleotides in length. Their secondary structure includes four short double-helical elements and three loops (D, anti-codon, and T loops). Lineage: Eukaryota; Metazoa; Chordata; Mammalia; Rodentia; Caviidae. The record is from Rfam by way of RNAcentral.
AGGGAUUUAGCUCAGCGGCAUAAGCGCCUGCCUUGCAAGCAGGCAGUUGUGAGUUCAAUCCCUG